This 549-nucleotide ribosomal RNA is filed under the name uncultured bacterium. RNAcentral's name for it is "bacterial SSU rRNA". It matches the Rfam family "Bacterial small subunit ribosomal RNA", at positions 355 to 896 of the family's 1533-position model. The record is from RNAcentral.
UGGGGAAUAUUGGACAAUGGGCGAAAGCCUGAUCCAGCCAUGCCGCGUGUGUGAAGAAGGCCUUUUGGUUGUAAAGCACUUUAAGUGGGGAGGAAAAGCUUGUGGUUAAUACCCAUAAGCCCUGACGUUACCCACAGAAUAAGCACCGGCUAACUCUGUGCCAGCAGCCGCGGUAAUACAGAGGGUGCAAGCGUUAAUCGGAAUUACUGGGCGUAAAGCGCGCGUAGGUGGUUAUUUAAGUCAGAUGUGAAAGCCCCGGGCUUAACCUGGGAACUGCAUCUGAUACUGGAUAACUAGAGUAGGUGAGAGGGGAGUAGAAUUCCAGGUGUAGCGGUGAAAUGCGUAGAGAUCUGGAGGGAUACCGAUGGCGAAGGCAGCUCCCUGGCAUCAUACUGACACUGAGGUGCGAAAGCGUGGGUAGCAAACAGGAUUAGAUACCCUGGUAGUCCACGCCGUAAACGAUGUCUACCAGUCGUUGGGUCUUUUAAAGACUUAGUGACGCAGUUAACGCAAUAAGUAGACCGCCUGGGGAGUACGGCCGCAAGGUUA